UCCUACGGGAGGCAGCAGUGGGGAAUCUUGGACAAUGGGCGCAAGCCUGAUCCAGCCAUGCCGCGUGAGUGAUGAAGGCCCUAGGGUCGUAAAGCUCUUUCGCCAGAGAUGAUAAUGACAGUAUCUGGUAAAGAAACCCCGGCUAACUCCGUGCCAGCAGCCGCGGUAAUACGGAGGGGGUUAGCGUUGUUCGGAAUUACUGGGCGUAAAGCGCACGUAGGCGGAUUGGAAAGUUGGGGGUGAAAUCCCAGGGCUCAACCCUGGAACUGCCUCCAAAACUAUCAGUCUAGAGUUCGAGAGAGGUGAGUGGAAUUCCGAGUGUAGAGGUGAAAUUCGUAGAUAUUCGGAGGAACACCAGUGGCGAAGGCGGCUCACUGGCUCGAUACUGACGCUGAGGUGCGAAAGUGUGGGGAGCAAACAGGAUUAGAUACCCUGGUAGUCCACACCGUAAACGAUGAAUGCCAGUCGUCGGGUAGUAUACUAUUCGGUGACACACCUAACGGAUUAAGCAUUCCGCCUGGGGAGUACGGUCGCAAGAUUAAAACUCAAAGGAAUUGACGGA
Molecule: ribosomal RNA, 562 nt
Filed under: uncultured Paracoccaceae bacterium
Lineage: Bacteria; Pseudomonadati; Pseudomonadota; Alphaproteobacteria; Rhodobacterales; Paracoccaceae
Description: bacterial SSU rRNA
Rfam family: Bacterial small subunit ribosomal RNA
Source: RNAcentral